GUGUGACUGCGUACCUUUUGUAUAAUGGGUCAGCGACUUAUAUUCUGUAGCAAGGUUAACCGAAUAGGGGAGCCGAAGGGAAACCGAGUCUUAACUGGGCGUUAAGUUGCAGGGUAUAGACCCGAAACCCGGUGAUCUAGCCAUGGGCAGGUUGAAGGUUGGGUAACACUAACUGGAGGACCGAACCGACUAAUGUUGAAAAAUUAGCGGAUGACUUGUGGCUGGGGGUGAAAGGCCAAUCAAACCGGGAGAUAGCUGGUUCUCCCCGAAAGCUAUUUAGGUAGCGCCUCGUGAAUUCAUCUCCGGGGGUAGAGCACUGUUUCGGCAAGGGGGUCAUCCCGACUUACCAACCCGAUGCAAACUGCGAAUACCGGAGAAUGUUAUCACGGGAGACACACGGCGGGUGCUAACGUCCGUCGUGAAGAGGGAAACAACCCAGACCGCCAGCUAAGGUCCCAAAGUCAUGGUUAAGUGGGAAACGAUGUGGGAAGGCCCAGACAGCCAGGAUGUUGGCUUAGAAGCAGCCAUCAUUUAAAGAAAGCGUAAUAGCUCACUGGUCGAGUCGGCCUGCGCGGAAGAUGUAACGGGGCUAAACCAUGCACCGAAGCUGCGGCAGCGACGCUUAUGCGUUGUUGGGUAGGGGAGCGUUCUGUAAGCCUGCGAAGGUGUGCUGUGAGGCAUGCUGGAGGUAUCAGAAGUGCGAAUGCUGACAUAAGUAACGAUAAAGCGGGUGAAAAGCCCGCUCGCCGGAAGACCAAGGGUUCCUGUCCAACGUUAAUCGGGGCAGGGUGAGUCGACCCCUAAGGCGAGGCCGAAAGGCGUAGUCGAUGGGAAACAGGUUAAUAUUCCUGUACUUGGUGUUACUGCGAAGGGGGGACGGAGAAGGCUAUGUUGGCCGGGCGACGGUUGUCCCGGUUUAAGCGUGUAGGCUGGUUUUCCAGGCAAAUCCGGAAAACUAAGGCUGAGGCGUGAUGACGAGGCACUACGGUGCUGAAGCAACAAAUGCCCUGCUUCCAGGAAAAGCCUCUAAGCAUCAGGUAACAUCAAAUCGUACCCCAAACCGACACAGGUGGUCAGGUAGAGAAUACCAAGGCGCUUGAGAGAACUCGGGUGAAGGAACUAGGCAAAAUGGUGCCGUAACUUCGGGAGAAGGCACGCUGAUAUGUAGGUGAAG
RNAcentral lists this ribosomal RNA (1174 nucleotides) under Escherichia coli. RNAcentral's name for it is "partial 23S ribosomal RNA". It matches the Rfam family "Bacterial large subunit ribosomal RNA", at positions 591 to 1767 of the family's 2925-position model. The record is from RNAcentral. Lineage: Bacteria; Pseudomonadati; Pseudomonadota; Gammaproteobacteria; Enterobacterales; Enterobacteriaceae.